AACCAGCUCUUCAAGUGGUCGGGAUAAUUAUUGGGCUUAAAGUGUCCGUAGCCGGUUUAGUAAGUUCCUGGUAAAAUCGGGUAGCUUAACUAUCUGCAUGCUAGGAAUACUGCUAUACUAGAGGGCGGGAGAGGUCUGAGGUACUACAGGGGUAGGGGUGAAAUCUUAUAAUCCUUGUAGGACCACCAGUGGCGAAGGCGUCAGACUGGAACGCGCCUGACGGUGAGGGACGAAAGCCAGGGGAGCGAACCGGAUUAGAUACCCGGGUAGUCCUGGCCGUAAACGAUGCAUACUAGGUGAUGGCACGGCCAUGAGCCAUGUCAGUGCCGUAGGGAAACCGUUAAGUGUGCCGCCUGGGAAGUACGGUCGCAAGGCUAAAACUUAAAGGAAUUGGCGGGGGAGCACCACAAGGCGUGAAGCUUGCGGUUC
This 429-nucleotide ribosomal RNA is filed under the name uncultured archaeon. RNAcentral's name for it is "bacterial SSU rRNA". It matches the Rfam family "Archaeal small subunit ribosomal RNA", at positions 474 to 903 of the family's 1478-position model. The record is from RNAcentral.